RNAcentral lists this ribosomal RNA (254 nucleotides) under uncultured bacterium. Its description in RNAcentral is "partial 16S ribosomal RNA". It matches the Rfam family "Bacterial small subunit ribosomal RNA", at positions 524 to 776 of the family's 1533-position model. The record is from RNAcentral.
UACGAAGGGGGCUAGCGUUGUUCGGAUUUACUGGGCGUAAAGCGCACGUAGGCGGUUUGUUAAGUGAGAGGUGAAAUCCCAGAGCUCAACUCUGGAACUGCCUUUCAUACUGGCAAGCUAGAGUCCGGAAGAGGUAAGUGGAACUCCUAGUGUAGAGGUGGAAUUCGUAGAUAUUAGGAAGAACACCAGUGGCGAAGGCGACUUACUGGACCACAUAUUGACGCUGAGGUGCGAAAGCGUGGGGAGCAAACAGG